AAAUAUGCUUAGGUUACUGUUGUAUGAGAUACCUACUCAAAAAAAAAAGAAAAAAAAGGAAUUCCUAUUGCAAUCAAGCAAAUUUAAAACACAACUAGUUUGGGAUAUGACCUUUAUUGAGCUUAUCCACUGGAGUGGAAAUAAUGUCUGUACAAAACCAAAUGUUUGUUACUAUAACUUCUGCAUCACAAUUAAAAUCCAAACAGUUUUUUAAAAACAGUCAACUCAAUCAAAACCCACUACUUCAGAAUCAAUAGCUUCUUUGAAGCCACAGUAACACUUAAAUAUGGUUAAGACUCGAAUGCAGAAAUUUGGUUGGUUGGAAAGCUAAUUAAACUUCCAACUUGCUCAAAUAGAAUUACAAAAAGGCAAAAUUGUGUUUUUCACAGAGAUACAGUCCACUGGAAUCACCAACACUGGACAGCUGUUAAGAGUAUUUAGAGUCCUGAGAUAAUAAGGAAUCCAGGCAUCCUUUAAACAGUCUUCUGUUGUCCUUUCUUCCCAAUCAGAGAUUUGUGGAUGUGUGGAAUGACACCUAGGAAAGGGACAGGGAUUAAUUCCACUUUUUAAUAUACACAUUUUAAAAACCACACCAUACUUAAAAACAAGACAGUCUGACAUUUAACUUGGAAGGUGUCUUUACAUGUACAGCUCAAGUAUGUAAAAACUCAUUCAGUUAUAUACAUAAACCAAAUUUCAUGAUGCAACCACACUGAAGAUCAGUGAAAAUAGUACUUCUGGACUAGAAAUUACUACUAAGAACUGAAGAAUGUUUUCUCCAAAGGAAUAAAAUUUAGUAUUUACAUACCACCACCAGCAAUUGUAGCCUUGAUGAGAGAAUCCAAUUCCUCAUCUCCACGAAUAGCAAGUUGCAAGUGACGAGGAGUAAUACGCUUUACCUUCAAGUCUUUUGAUGCAUUUCCUGCCAAUUCAAGUACCUACAAGGGAGAUUCUAAUCAAUCUCCUUCCAACUUUCCUUAAAGACCAAUGCCCAAGGGGUAGAAUCGAAUCUUCACGGAGAUACAUCUACCAAAUGUCGCCUUCCUCCACUACCUACCUGAAUGGCAACACUUGAAAAGGGGGCACGCAAUUUUAUUUCCAAGAGCAGCAAACUCAACCAAGCUCAGUAGGAUCUCGUAAUGAACACCAGCCCCCUCUAGCGUUCUCAGAAGCUUCUUGCCGCGUUUAGAGCCUGGGAGUUUUUCUUGCAUCACUUUCCUCCUUCCCUCUCGUCGCCACCCCCAACCCCCCCAAACCUUUUCCAGAUUAUAAAGCGUACACCCAUUUACCUCUGCGGUGAGGUACUCCAGGAUGGCUGCGCUGUACACAGCGGCAGUCGCGCCCACACGUCCAUGACUGGUCGUCCUAGAUUUCAGGUGUCGAUGAAUACGGCCCACCGGGAACUUAAUUUUAAGCACACAAACAUAAAUGCACAAAGAUGUUAGCGUCCAAGAUGGUAAUAUUACACGCGCGCCAAAGCAAGGGGUAUGGACGCUGGUGCAGCAACGCGCCCCAGCAUCGACACACGUGAUCGCCCCCCCCUUCGAUAUUUAUCGUAUCGGCAAACCAAGUCGCGACACCGCAUCACCCACGCAAAGACGAAACGCCCGUCUAGACCGAAGAUAAACAAGAAAAGAGGAGUAAAGAAAAACACCACGGCUCCCGGACUGCACGAACCACCACUGACCUGCAAGCCGGCUCUCUGCGAGCGGGAAACCGCCUUUGUCUUGGCCUUUCCGGAGUCCUUCCCAGCCUUACCGCCAGCCUGCGGCGCGCACACGCCCGCGAGCGAAGAAGGAACGGGGAAUAUAGGAUUACCAGGGCGGCGUGCCCCUCCCCCACCGCGGCGCG
RNAcentral lists this long non-coding RNA (1851 nucleotides) under Lynx pardinus (Iberian lynx). Lineage: Eukaryota; Metazoa; Chordata; Mammalia; Carnivora; Felidae. The record is from RNAcentral.